GUCCUUUGUCUAAAUUGGUGCAUAAUCUACAAGCUGCACGCAGUCAUCCAGUGAUUGAGAGGAGAGAGGAGGCUUUCAACGAACUAUAUAUCAUGAAGAGAUAUGUGAAAAAUCACCUUGAGGAUUGAUUCUAAACAACGUUUAACAUGUUUCAGUCGAUAUUAUGGAGUUAAUUUGGAAAAAAGUUCGGCGUUUUGAAGACUGAAUUUUCGUUUUUUUUUUGGUAGCCAAACGGAGCAAUUUCUCCUAAACAAAUAAUCUUUCAGGAAAAACUGAGCAUUUGCUAUCUAACUGAGAGUCUCCUCAUUGAAAACAUCUGAAGUUCUUCAAAGGACCUGAGCCCUAGGACCAUGCCCCAGGACUACCUGACAUGAUGACUCCUUGCUGUCCCCAGUCCAUCUGACCGUGCUGCUGCUCCAGUUUCAACUGUUCUGCCUUAUUAUUAUACGACCAUGCUGGUCAUUUAUGAACAUUUGAACAUCUUGGCCAUGUUCUGUUAUAAUCUCCACCCGGCACAGCCAGAAGAGGACUGGCCACCCCACAUAGCCUGGUUCCUCUCUAGGUUUCUUCCUAGGUUUUGGCCUUUCUAGGGAGUUUUUCCUAGCCACCGUGCUUCUACACCUGCAUUGCUUGCUGUUUGGGGUUUUAGGCUGGGUUUCUGUACAGCACUUUGAGAUAUCAGCUGAUGUAUGAAGGGCUAUAUAAAUUAAUUUGAUUUGAUUUCAUAUUUGGGAUGUAGGUGUAUGCAUGUUCACAGUGUAUAAGGGUGUUGAGUAUUUGGGCUGCUGUAUUGUAUAAGCUCCAAGUUACAGAUAGGGCUGGUAUUUAGUAUUGGGACAGUUUAUGCUGUGUUACAGAUAGGAAUGGUAUUUAGUAUUGGGACAGUUUAGGCUGUGUUACAGACAGGGAUGAUAUUUAGUAUUGGGACAGUUUAUGCUGUGUUACAGAUAGGGAUGGUAUUUAGUAUUGGGACAGUUUAUGCUGCGUUACAGACAGGGAUGGUAUUUAGUUGCUAUACUGUAUGUUCAGAGAGAUGGCAGACCUAUUUAGUAUUGGGCCAGUGUCAGUGUGAGUGGAGAUCAGCCAGAGAGCAGCCAGAAAGCAGACGGAGAGCGGCCGGAGAGCGGCCGGAGAGCGGCCGGAGAGCAGCCGGAGAGCAGCCGGAGAGCAGCCAGAGAGCAGCCAGAGAGCAGCCAGAGAGC
Long non-coding RNA from Oncorhynchus tshawytscha (Chinook salmon), 1202 nucleotides. The record is from Ensembl. NCBI's taxonomy places the organism in Eukaryota, Metazoa, Chordata, Actinopteri, Salmoniformes, Salmonidae.